Molecule: transfer RNA, 67 nt
Filed under: Analcellicampa xanthosoma
Lineage: Eukaryota; Metazoa; Arthropoda; Insecta; Hymenoptera; Tenthredinidae
Description: tRNA-Gly
Source: RNAcentral
AUUUAUAUAAUAUAAACAAGUAUAGUUGACUUCCAAUCAAAAAGUUUAAACAUUUUUAAUAUAAAUA